GAUGAACGCUAGCGGCAGGCUUAAUACAUGCAAGUCGAGGGGCAGCACAGUGUAGCAAUACAUGGGUGGCGACCGGCAAACGGGUGCGGAACACGUACACAACCUUCCUUUAAGCGGGGGAUAGCCCGGGGAAACCCGGAUUAAUACCCCAUAGUAUAUUAGAGUGGCAUCACUUUGAUAUUAAAGAUUUAUCACUUAAUGAUGGGUGUGCGUCUGAUUAGGUAGUUGGCGGGGUAGAAGCCCACCAAGCCUUCGAUCAGUAGCUGAUGUGAGAGCAUGAUCAGCCACACGGGCACUGAGACACGGGCCCGACUCCUACGGGA
RNAcentral lists this ribosomal RNA (323 nucleotides) under uncultured bacterium. RNAcentral describes it as "bacterial SSU rRNA". It matches the Rfam family "Bacterial small subunit ribosomal RNA", at positions 28 to 346 of the family's 1533-position model. The record is from RNAcentral.